CUCAUAAAGAGUGGCGGAGGGACUGGCCCUAUGAAGCCCGGCAACCGGUAAUAGUUUUACCAUGGUGCCAAAUCCAACAGCGUUGGCUGAAAGAUGAGA
RNAcentral lists this non-coding RNA (99 nucleotides) under human gut metagenome. Its description in RNAcentral is "SAM riboswitch (S box leader)". It matches the Rfam family "SAM riboswitch aptamer (S box leader)". From Rfam's summary of the family: The SAM riboswitch is found upstream of a number of genes which code for proteins involved in methionine or cysteine biosynthesis in Gram-positive bacteria. The record is from RNAcentral.